UACGUAGGGUGCAAGCGUUGUCCGGAAUUAUUGGGCGUAAAGAGCUCGUAGGCGGUCUGUCGCGUCGGCUGUGAAAUCCCGAGGCUCAACCUCGGGUCUGCAGUCGAUACGGGCAAACUGGAGUGUUGCAGGGGAGACUGGAAUUCCUGGUGUAGCGGUGAAAUGCGCAGAUAUCAGGAGGAACACCGGUGGCGAAGGCGGGUCUCUGGGCAACAACUGACGCUGAGGAGCGAAAGCAUGGGGAGCGAACAGG
RNAcentral lists this ribosomal RNA (253 nucleotides) under uncultured bacterium. RNAcentral's name for it is "partial 16S ribosomal RNA". It matches the Rfam family "Bacterial small subunit ribosomal RNA", at positions 524 to 776 of the family's 1533-position model. The record is from RNAcentral.